AUCAGAAAUUGGAGGCACAUUAGGUUAAGGAACUUGCCCCAAACCACAGAGGAAAUGGCAAGAUUGGGAAAUCAGCCCAGGCUUCCAUACUUCACAUAUCUUAUUCCUCAGUAUGAAAACAAACUGCCAACAGAAUGAUGAAAAAUGUAAGAAGAUGUGUAUAUCAAAGUUGAUGAAACUUAAAACUGAUGUUUGAAGUGGUUUCUAAAAAGAGCAAUAAUUUUUGAGAGGACUCUUGGAGAAUGCAUAGUUAACUUGGAUCCAGCAAGACCGAACGGAUGCAUUAGUCUUAAGGUUCGGAGCGGCCGGCUCACAGCGCCACCUGGCGUCCACUUUCGGAAGCGGCGAGAACAGCUUUAAAACGAAAAGUGAGGUAAAGCUGGUCCUCAGCUGUGCACGAAGGAACCUAUCUGGGAGCAGACAGGUGAGGUCGGUAUUGGGCGCCCAGAUUUCUUGGUCUGGAGGUGAGAGGGGUUUUGCAGGCCUUUUUCACUGGCUCCUGGAUCCCGCUGUGAAUCUAUUCUUUUUGAGGCUCUUUGAUUUCCGGACCAAUCCUUGUGAUUUUCUGAGCGCUUCCAUCCUGCAUUCUUCAUCAGCUGUUUGGAGGGGUGAUGUAACAAUAGUUAGACAAAUCUCAAAUUGGGAAAUUAUUAAUAAUAGUUUUUAUACCAAGGAUGAAUAG
RNAcentral lists this long non-coding RNA (682 nucleotides) under Sus scrofa (pig). RNAcentral's name for it is "lncRNA (ENSSSCG00070015938.1)". The record is from RNAcentral. Lineage: Eukaryota; Metazoa; Chordata; Mammalia; Artiodactyla; Suidae.